Long non-coding RNA from Magnolia sinica, 608 nucleotides. RefSeq lists it as uncharacterized. The record is from RefSeq and is a predicted model, not a curated record. The transcript has 5 exons. NCBI's taxonomy places the organism in Eukaryota, Viridiplantae, Streptophyta, Magnoliopsida, Magnoliales, Magnoliaceae.
AUCCAACACAGGCCUGGAUAGAAGGUGUGCAAUAUCCAAGCUUUCCAUCAGGUGGUUCCCCACUUCUUGAUGCCACGAUCCAAAAAUCAGGCAAGUCCACUCCAUAUGCUUAUUCAAAGUGGAAGUAACUAUAUAGAGUGUAGGCUCAGGGGUCCACAAUGCUUACAUGAAUGCAUGAUCAAAGCUGCUCAUCAGUUUUAUCCUUGAAGAAAAAGGGAAGAAAAAUCUGUCCACAUAUUAAAAAAAAUAAAAUUCCAUAGCUAUUCUCCUCCAUCUGCUAGUUACAGGUGGAGCAUUGGUAACAGAGGGGGGCUUUGCUGCUUCAUAUGGGGAUGGAUAUGGACUUCAUUCGGGUGGUGCUGACAAAGGUCCUCUAUAUGGCAUGAGUUCUAGUUCUUGGGGUGCAUUUAAGAAGUCUGGCCUCGGGCGUCGCUGAAGUCUGUUGAUUUUUUUUUCCUUCUGCUUUUCCUUGUGUCUCAAUCAGUAAAUUUUUUGUCCAUUAUGUAACCUUUCAUUCUCAGGCCCCUUGUAAAUGAGGCUGGUUGUAAAUGAUUUACAGGUUGUGUUUGAAUACUAAUUUAAGCCUGCAAAGGUCUUUUGAUUUAGAA